Long non-coding RNA from Equus asinus (donkey), 3696 nucleotides. NCBI's taxonomy places the organism in Eukaryota, Metazoa, Chordata, Mammalia, Perissodactyla, Equidae. The record is from Ensembl.
CAAUCACACCAGCCAGAUGAUAUUUUUCAGUUUGUCAUUACUUUAUCAAAGAAACACAGUCUUUGCUCUUUUGUAAAAACUUCUGCAUUCCCACAACCUUCAGGAUAAGAAAAAUGGAUUACGGGCCAGGCAAAAUUUGACCAUUAAGCGUCCUUCAAGGAAUCCACAAGAUGCUGCAAAGAGCAUAUCUUAAUGGUGUGAUGAGUCCUUAAACACUUUCUUCAGUUUCUUCUCUGACCUUUUCAGAUUGUGAUAAAUUCUGAUGGUUUAUAUAUAUUUUUUUACAAGGAGACAUUUCCAUCCGGAGAAAAAUAAGCAAGAAGGAAGAUAAUUGACUCGAAGAGGAAAUCUUUCAUCAAAACCUGCAAAUGUGUUGUGGCAAGGAUAACUCAGAUAAACUGACAUGCCACACAGAAGAGGUUAUAUGACAGCUUCCAAACGCAAAACAAAUGUCAAAAAUGGCUGAGCCAAAAUGUUAAAUUGACAAGGGAACGAUUUUGCUCUAUGCAUUUUAACCACGGGGAAAGCAAGUGCUUCAACAAUCACUGGUUGAUAACAUCAACUUAAACUAUUAAUUUUAAGCUACAAGAGUGGUAGGAGUUUCAACAGUUGAUGGCUAGGAAAUUUAUUACAAUUUUGCAGUGGGCAUGGAAGAUAUUGGGUAUAGGUGAAUCAGAGUAAUUUCAGGCUCAGGUUACUCUAAAAAUGCCUACCAUGUGACACUUAAUACAUCACGCCAAAUUCCUCUAACCCCGCACACAGAAACGAGCAUUGUUAACAGUCAGUGAAAAGUGAGCUUGCCUGGAUCCACAGAAAACUCAAAUCCUAUUCUAAGUCAGUGAUUCUUCUGAAGUGUGGUCCUUAGACCAGCAGUAGCAAUAUCAUCUGGGAACUUGUUAGAAGUUCCCAGAAUCACCUGGGAACUCAGGCUGCACCUGGGACUUUUCGAAUCAGAGAAUCUGGGGUGGGCGCAACAAUCACCUCCAGAUGAUUCUGGUGCGUGCUAGAGUUUGAGAACUACCAUCUUGGGAAUGUGAGAAGGAGCCAAACAGAAAGCAAGAAUACGAUUCAGCGUUUCCAACGGAGACUGUGUCUGGGUGGGAGGCCUGCCACAGCAUGGCUUGCCAAGCAGUGCCAUGUCCGCACCUGGGAUCCAAACCGGUGAAUCCCAGGCCGCCGAAGUGGAACGUGCAAACUUAAUCACUGCACCACUGGGCCAGCCCCAGUGUUAGAUUGUUUAUUUGAGAUUUUUCUUGUUUGCUGAGGACAACCAGUCAGAAAAUCAUCAAGAAUACAGAACUCAAGAACACCAUCAAAAGGAUCUAACCAACAUUUAUGGAAUAUUCCAUCCAACAGUAGAGGAAAGCACAUUCUUUCCAAGUGCCCACAGAAGAUACAUCAAGAGAGACCAUAUCCUGGGCCAUAAAACAAAUCAUAAAACUACUUAAAAGAAUUGAAAUCAUAUAUAGUGUGUCCACCAACUACAGUGUAAUUAAAUUCAAAAUCAAUCACAAAAAGAUAGAAAAUUUUUCUAAUAUGUACAGACUAAACAAUAUAUUUCCAUUCCUUGAGCUUAUGAAGAAAUCUCAGGGGAAAUAAAAAUACUUUGAACUAAAUGAAAAUGAAAAUAAAGCAUUUUGAAAUUUGUGGGGCACAACUAAAGUUUUACUGAGCACUAAAUGCAUACAUUAGAAAAGAGAAAACUCCCAAAUCAAGAGUCUUAGCUCCCACCUCAAGGACCUAGAAAAAGAAGAGCAAAAUAAAACUAAAGCAAGCAGAAGAAAGACUAUGAUAAAAAUAAGAGCAAAAAUCAAUGAAAUUGAAAACAGAGAAACCAUAGAGAAAAUCAAGAAAACAAAGAACUGGUUCUUAGAAAAGAUCAAUAAAAUUGACAAACCUCUAGAAGGACUGACAGGGAAAAAAAAUGAAGACACAAAAUCCAAUAUUGGGAGUGAAACAGGAGAUGUCACCAAAGACCCUGCAUACAUCAAAAGUUUAACAAAGGAAUGCUAUGAACAACAUUACACAUCUACAUACUUUAAUUUGACAAUCUAGAUGAAAUAGACUAAUUCCUCAAAAAUCACAAACUGCCACAAUUUACCCAAUAUGGAACGGAACGUUUGAAUAGCCCUAUGAUUAUUAUGAAAAUCGAAUUCAUUAUUUCAAAACUCACAAAAAAAGAAAAUAACAAAUGCAGAUGAUUUCAUUGGAGAACUUUACCAAAUGUUAAAAAAGAAUUAGUACUGAUUCUACACAAUCUUUUCUUGAAAAUAGAAGAGGAAACACUUCCUAAUGCAUUUUGUGAAGCUAGUGUUACCUCACUCCAGAACUACAUAAAGACAACACAAAGAAAGAAAAUCACAACAAAUAUUCCUUAUCAAUAUAGAUACAUGCCCAUCAAAAAAUGUUAACAAAUAGAAUUCAGCAACAUGUAAAAAGACUUAUACACUAUGAUCAAAUGGGAUUUAUUUCAGUCAUGCAAAUCUGGUGGAAUAUUAAAAAUCAGUCACUGUAAUUUGCCAUCAUAAGAUACUAUGGAACAAAAAUCAUGUGAAGAUGUCAAUUGACACAGAAAGAGCACUUGACAAAAGAUUCUCAAAAAAACCCCAAAAGAAACAGAGAAAAACUUCCUCAACUUGAUAAAGCACAUCUAAAAAAGCCCACAGUUAACACCGUACUUAAUUAUGAAUACUCAGUGGUUUUCCCCCAGGAUUGCGAAGAAGGCAAGGAUGUUCAUUCUCACCAUUCUUAUUCAGCAUGGUGCUGGAAAUUUUAGCUAGUGCAAUGAGGCAAGUAAUGGAAAGAAAAUCAUUCUGAUAGGAAAGGAAGAAACAAAACUAUCACCAUUUGCAGAUAACAUGGUUUUCUAUGUAGAAAAUACCAAGGAAUCAAUCAACAAACAAAAACUCCUAGAAUUAAUAAAUGACUUCAGGAAGAUCAUAGGAUUCAAGAUAAACAUGCAAAACCCCACUAUAUUUGUAUACACUAGCAAUAAACAGUAUACAAUGAAUUUAAAAAUACUAUGUCAUUCACAAUUACAAAAAGAAAUAUUUAGGUAUAUAAGGAACAAAAAUAUGUUCAAAACUUUAUGCUGAAAACUACACAAUGCUGAUGAAAGAAAUCAAAGAAGAUCAAAAUAAUUGAGGAGACAAACCAUCCUCAUGGAUUACAAGACUCAACAUAGUAAAGAUGUUAAUUCUCAAAUUUGUAUAUAGUUUUAAUGCAAUAACUAUCAAAAUCCUAGAAAGAUUUUUGUAGAUAAAGACAAAAUAUGUGCAAGAUCUCUACACUGAAAACCAUAAAACACUGCUGAGAACAAAUAAAGAAAACCUAAAUAAUGGAGAGACACGCUACGGUCUUGGAUGGAAGGCUUCAUCUUCUGUAGAUACCAAUUCUUCUCAGGUUGAUCUAUAGAUUCAACACAAUCCUCUUCUGCACUUCUAUCCUUGGCAUGAUCAGGGCAUUAAUGGUGAUUGUGGAUAUCUGUGUCUCAUUCCUGAUCUGAUAGAAAAUGUUCAUAAUAUUUCACCAUGAAGUAUGAUGUUUGAUGUAGACUUUAGUAAAUACAUUUAUCAGAUUGAAGACUUUCCCCUCUAUUCUAAGUUUUUAAAGAGUUCUUAUCAUAAAUGGAUGUAUACUGUUAUCAAAUGAUUUGUCUCUACUUAAUUGAGUAAUAAAAUUCUUUUUAUCCAUUAA